RNAcentral lists this ribosomal RNA (445 nucleotides) under uncultured bacterium. RNAcentral's name for it is "partial 16S ribosomal RNA". It matches the Rfam family "Bacterial small subunit ribosomal RNA", at positions 354 to 796 of the family's 1533-position model. The record is from RNAcentral.
GUGAGGAAUAUUGGUCAAUGGACGGAAGUCUGAACCAGCCAUGCCGCGUGCAGGAAUAAGGUCCUAUGGAUUGUAAACUGCUUUUAUUCGGGAAUAAACCUCUUUACGUGUAGGGAGCUGAAGGUACCGAAGGAAUAAGCACCGGCUAACUCCGUGCCAGCAGCCGCGGUAAUACGGAGGGUGCAAGCGUUAUCCGGAAUCAUUGGGUGUAAAGGGUCCGCAGGCGGGCUAUCAAGUCAGAGGUGAAAUCCCACAGCUUAACUGUGGAACUGCCUUUGAAACUGAUGGGCUUGAAUUAAGUGGGCGUUGGCGGAAUAUGACAUGUAGCGGUGAAAUGCUUAGAUAUGAUGUAGAACACCGAUUGCGAAGGCAUCUCACUAAGCAAAUAUUGACGCUGAGGCACGAAAGCGUGGGGAUCAAACAGGAUUAGAAACCCCUGUAGUCC